CUUGGUGGCUUCUGGGUCUUUUCAAUAUUUAUUGCAUUAUUUUGUGUGUUCCAAUUUCAUUUCAUUUCAAAAUGCUUUUCCGGUUUUGCUUGUGUGUGUAAAUUAGCAGCGGAGCCUGAAACUUUUGUUCCUAACAAGAAAGUUACUAUAAAAAGUUUUGCCAUUGCUGCUACAGCUCGCUGUGAAAACUCUCUUGCGAUUAAAAAUGCUUCGUUUGCUCUUGUGUAUGCAAGAAUCCCUCAUUUCCUUCUCUAAAUUCCUGUCUAAUUAAAAAAACAGUACAUCAUGGUUAAAUAAAACUGUACCCUGGAUAACCCUGAUUUCCAUAUGCAGAUUUAUCUGCACUGACAGCCCCCUCUCCCUCUCUUAGUCUAUUUCCUCUCUCUCCCUCUCCUUCUCUCUCUCUCUCUCCCUCAUUCUCUUUCUCCCUCUUUCUCUCCCUCUCUCUCUGUCUUUUUGUCUCUCCUUAUGUCUAUUGCAUUGUGCCUGAAUAAUUUUCAGGGCUUUUUUUUUUUUUUCCCUUCUUGCACGCACAUGCUAAAAUAACUAGACAAAGAUGCAAGGUGUUUGCUGCAGUCCCUGUCUCUAGGAAAAAAUAAAACAAGAAAGCUCAUGAUUGCAAUGCCACCUUUUCUUUUCUUUCUUUCUUUUUUUUUUUUUUCCCCACUCAUGCUCGGUGAUUAAACUUCCCCAGGAUGGGGAAGAAAAAAGAGCUGGAAUUGAAAUAGGGCUGAGGAAAAAACCAUUGCAGCAGCUGCAGCCAGUGGUGUCUACUGCCAGAUGUGCUAAGGUUCCUGGGCUCCUUGACACUAAAAGGCAGCAUAAAAAUAUUUGGAGACAAAAGCUGCAUCCUCAGUGAUGAUUCUCUUUAUUUAACAUGGCAGCAGGCACCGUGUGUGGGAAAAUCAACAUGCUGGAUGUUGAAUUGGACUUUCCUCCUUUCUAGGAUGAAAGGAUGUUAUCUAUCCCGUGCCAAGAGGGAACUGAGCACAGAAGCGAUGAAUGCUGCAUAAUUAAGUACAGUAUUUAAUUUGGCUGUUGUGAAGCAAAAGAAUAAGGUGCAGGGGGAGGGGAAGAAAGUCUCCAAAACCAGCCCACGAUGGUGAGUACACGUCAGGCAGCCCAAGGGGACAGGCUGGGGUUCAUUUCACUGGAUAUCCCUCUUUUUGGCAACUUUUUUAAUUUGGAGGAUGGAGGUGGAGUUGUGCUUUGUGGCUUCUUUUUUAAAGGUUGAGCAAAGAGCAAUAAUGUACACACCAUCAGAGACAGACUGUCUAUAGCAGAGACUCCGUGUAUUUUAAAAUUUUGGGUUUUAUCUGAAGCACAAACGUUUGUAACUUCUGUCAAAUGGCAAUGUUUUGAACAGGAGCUACUUUGUUGAGUGCAGAAACUUUGAGAACACCUGAUGCUCACUAUAUUGCUGUUGUACCAUUCUUGGUUGUCAUGGUCUGUACUGUAUAUGCAUUUUACAAAACAUGUUAUUUUUCUAACAGUUCAGUUCUCACCAUCCAAAACAUGAUAUAAAAUUCAAGUUAGUUCUUUUUUAUUUUUUUUUUUUUUUCCUUGUGUCGUUUGCUUGGUGUUAAAUCAGAUGAUUUAAAUGUAAGGAGUUUGCACAGUUUUGCAAUUUCCCUACUUA
RNAcentral lists this long non-coding RNA (1639 nucleotides) under Anser brachyrhynchus (Pink-footed goose). RNAcentral describes it as "lncRNA (ENSABRG00000002828.1)". The record is from RNAcentral. Lineage: Eukaryota; Metazoa; Chordata; Aves; Anseriformes; Anatidae.